Molecule: ribosomal RNA, 857 nt
Filed under: Curvularia portulacae
Lineage: Eukaryota; Fungi; Ascomycota; Dothideomycetes; Pleosporales; Pleosporaceae
Description: eukaryotic LSU rRNA
Rfam family: Eukaryotic large subunit ribosomal RNA
Source: RNAcentral
CAACAGGGAUUGCCCUAGUAACGGCGAGUGAAGCGGCAACAGCUCAAAUUUGAAAUCUGGCUCUUUCAGGGUCCGAGUUGUAAUUUGCAGAGGGCGCUUUGGCUUUGGCAGCGGUCCAAGUUCCUUGGAACAGGACGUCACAGAGGGUGAGAAUCCCGUACGUGGUCGCUAGCUAUUGCCGUGUAAAGCCCCUUCGACGAGUCGAGUUGUUUGGGAAUGCAGCUCUAAAUGGGAGGUAAAUUUCUUCUAAAGCUAAAUAUUGGCCAGAGACCGAUAGCGCACAAGUAGAGUGAUCGAAAGAUGAAAAGCACUUUGGAAAGAGAGUCAAACAGCACGUGAAAUUGUUGAAAGGGAAGCGCUUGCAGCCAGACUUGCUUGCAGUUGCUCAUCCGGGCUUUUGCCCGGUGCACUCUUCUGCAGGCAGGCCAGCAUCAGUUUGGGCGGUGGGAUAAAGGUCUCUGUCACGUACCUCUCUUCGGGGAGGCCUUAUAGGGGAGACGACAUACCACCAGCCUGGACUGAGGUCCGCGCAUCUGCUAGGAUGCUGGCGUAAUGGCUGUAAGCGGCCCGUCUUGAAACACGGACCAAGGAGUCUAACAUCUAUGCGAGUGUUUGGGUGUCAAGCCCGAGCGCGUAAUGAAAGUGAACGGAGGUGGGAACCCGCAAGGGCGCACCAUCGACCGAUCCUGAAGUUUACGGAAGGAUUUGAGUAAGAGCAUGGCUGUUGGGACCCGAAAGAUGGUGAACUAUGCUUGAAUAGGGUGAAGCCAGAGGAAACUCUGGUGGAGGCUCGCAGCGGUUCUGACGUGCAAAUCGAUCGUCAAAUUUGGGCAUAGGGGCGAAAGACUAAUCGAACU